Molecule: ribosomal RNA, 467 nt
Filed under: uncultured bacterium
Lineage: Bacteria
Description: partial 16S ribosomal RNA
Rfam family: Bacterial small subunit ribosomal RNA
Source: RNAcentral
ACGAACGCUGGCGGCGUGCUUAACACAUGCCAGUCGCACGGAAAGGCCCUGCUUUUGUGGGGUGCUCGAGUGGCGAACGGGUGAGUAACACGUGAGUAACCUGCCCUUGACUUUGGGAUAACUUCAGGAAAAUGGGGCUAAUACCGGAUAGGAGCUCCUGCUGCAUGGUGGGGGUUGGAAAGUUUCGGCGGUUGGGGAUGGACUCGCGGCUUAUCAGCUUGUUGGUGGGGUAGUGGCUUACCAAGGCUUUGACGGGUAGCCGGCCUGAGAGGGUGACCGGCCACAUUGGGACUGAGAUACGGCCCAGACUCCUACGGGAGGCAGCAGUGGGGAAUAUUGCACAAUGGGCGGAAGCCUGAUGCAGCAACGCCGCGUGCGGGAUGACGGCCUUCGGGUUGUAAACCGCUUUCGCCUGUGACGAAGCGUGAGUGACGGUAAUGGGUAAAGAAGCACCGGCUAACUACGUG